This 492-nucleotide ribosomal RNA is filed under the name uncultured bacterium. RNAcentral describes it as "partial 16S ribosomal RNA". It matches the Rfam family "Bacterial small subunit ribosomal RNA", at positions 29 to 507 of the family's 1533-position model. The record is from RNAcentral.
AGUGAACGCUGGCGGUAGGCCUAACACAUGCAAGUCGAACGGCAGCACAGUAAGAGCUUGCUCUUACGGGUGGCGAGUGGCGGACGGGUGAGGAAUACAUCGGAAUCUACUUUUUCGUGGGGGAUAACGUAGGGAAACUUACGCUAAUACCGCAUACGACCUACGGGUGAAAGCAGGGGAUCUUCGGACCUUGCGCGAUUGAAUGAGCCGAUGUCGGAUUAGCUAGUUGGCGGGGUAAAGGCCCACCAAGGCGACGAUCCGUAGCUGGUCUGAGAGGAUGAUCAGCCACACUGGAACUGAGACACGGUCCAGACUCCUACGGGAGGCAGCGGUGGGGAAUAUUGGACAAUGGGCGAAGGCCUGAUCCAGCCAUACCGCGUGGGUGAAGAAGGCCUUCGGGUUGUAAAGCCCUUUUGUUGGGAAAGAAAAGCAGCAGGUUAAUACCCCGCUGUUCUGACGGUACCCAAAGAAUAAGCACCGGCUAACUUCGUG